UCGUUUUCGAGGUUAGUGGUUUCUCUGUCUAGCGUCUCCAACCUUCUUCCAUCGACGGAUCUUUCGUCUUCUUCUUCCCGAGCGAGAUGAUACAGUAACCGAUUCCCCCUCAUUAAGUGCUCCUUCAUCAAUCACACACGAUCUCCAUUCAAUGCGACCCUGAAUAGUGCAAGGCGGUGGAAGCUCUGCUAUAAAAAGACUGGCCGCUCUUCCUCCUCCUCCGUUCAAGUUCGCCUGCUCCGAUUUUGGGAGGCCAGGAACGUCGUGCCAUGCUCCUCUAGAUUCUAAGGCACUUGAAGAAGUUAUCUCAGAGGAAUGACCAGUCUGGAUCACUUUCUCCAUGUAUACGUGCGUAUAUGCUUCUCUGAUGCGUUUUAAACGAUUAAUGAAACCCAGAGGAAGUAUUGAGGAGAAGCAGGAGGUUAUUAUUAAAGUUGAAAAGGAAAAGGCUGAGAAGGUUAUCAAAGAGUUAUCCACUAAAUAUGAUAAAGAACUUUCUGACUGUAAAGCCAAAUCAAAGCACCAAUUGCUGACCAUUCAAGAGGAUAAUGCUUCUCUGGUUUUCAAAUAGCAAACAUGAUGAUAAAGCUCAUGUUCUGCAGAUACUCACUAUCCGGGAGGAACAUGAGAAUAGGGAGUUAAAUCUCAAAGCUAAGCACGAUGAGGAACUGAUACAAGCUCAGCCUUAGGCCGAAACUGAAUUGAAAGAGAAGAUAACAACAAUCAGGAACGAGCAUGACGUUCAACUGAAAGCAUUUAAGUGUCACUACGAAGAUGAUUACAAGAAGCUGCAAGACGAAUUAGAUCUUCAGAGAUUAAAAGAAGAGAGGCAAAGAGCUUUGUUGCAAAUGCAGUGGAGGGUUAUGAGUGAUAAAGCUCCAGAAGAGCAAGAAGUGAGCACUAGGAAGGUUAGACCAGAAAUCAUUUAGUUUAUAGUGCCUUUUAAAGAAACAUAAAUGUAUAGUGAUUUCGAGUACUUAAUCAUCAUCUUGCAGGAAUACUGUGAGAUUUCAUUGAUCACUGUAUAAACAAUCCACAUUAAUUUGUCUCUUAGUUUUGUAUUUAGAACUGCAAUAAGGGAGUUUCUGUUCAGCUCUGGAUAUGAUGGGUCUUUAAAAACAUUACGUGUUUAAAGGAAGGGUAAGAAGAUUUUGGAGAAGAAAUGGAUCACUUUGAAACAUAACGCCAAGCUGAGUUUUUCGCUUCUUCAGAUUGGGCAAGAACAAAAGGUUUACAGGGGGUUUCAGAGAAGAGUCAGGAUUUAGAAGGAACUAGGUUCAAACUCAUGUGUUCAUGACCAUUGGAGGAACAACAACGAAUAUGUCCUAAUGAGCUGGAGAGAAGGCUACAGAGUCUUAGGGAGACUAGACAAGAGGGGGAUAUAAAAGAGCUGCAGACUUCAAUGGAAGACGCUAAUAAAAGUCUUCAUGUGAUGGGCUGAAGAUUCUUGGUGGAAAGACACAGUGUAUGUAGGCUCUGAACAUAUACAGUCUAAAAUCAAUUCCAACUAUCAAAAUCGUUGUUACCCUUUCCCUAAGUAAGAAAUCCAGUGUUUUAAGUUUUAUUAGAAAACAAAAGUGUUUGUAAUCUUGUGAAGAAGCUUAAUGUUAAUUAAUGGAUUUGCCUUAUAUU
Long non-coding RNA from Raphanus sativus (radish), 1632 nucleotides. RefSeq lists it as uncharacterized. The record is from RefSeq and is a predicted model, not a curated record. Lineage: Eukaryota; Viridiplantae; Streptophyta; Magnoliopsida; Brassicales; Brassicaceae. The transcript is spliced from 8 exons.